GGGGUAUCACAAGAAAUUGUCUAGCUUCUUCAAGAUCUUAGCAACUAGUGCAGAUGAAGAUGGCAACCGUCUAUGUGUCAACAGUGCAGUCACGGAGAUAUCCAGUGACCGGUGUGCAAUUUCACCCAGAGAAAAAUGCUUUCGAAUGGGGCUUAUCAGGGAUCCCACACUCAGAAGAUGCAAUUCAAGUCUCUCAACAAAUUGCUAACUUUCUUGUAAGGGAGGCCAGAAUGUCCUUGAACAGGCCAUCCUCCCAGGAAGUUCUUGACAACCUCAUAUAAUAUUACACUCCCACUUAUUGUGGAAAAUCUGGGCGAGGGUUUGAUGAGGUAUAUAUUUUCAGCUAGUAGGCGGCUGGAUUGGAUAAUCAAGCUCCGGAUAUUAUACGUGACGUGUACAUAUCGUACUGUUAAAUCAAGUCCACAACUAUUUAAUACACAUUAAAACAAUUAUGCCCACUAAUAUUGGACUUUCAAGCUAUUUAUGUAUGUGAAGUACU
Salvia splendens (bonfire salvia) is the source of this 499-nucleotide long non-coding RNA. RefSeq lists it as uncharacterized. The record is from RefSeq and is a predicted model, not a curated record. NCBI's taxonomy places the organism in Eukaryota, Viridiplantae, Streptophyta, Magnoliopsida, Lamiales, Lamiaceae. The transcript has 5 exons.